UCGUACCAGGGUACCCGUAAGCUUGCUCUCUGGGUGGCGAGUGGCGGACGGGUGAGGAAUACAUCGGAAUCUACCUUUUCGUGGGGGAUAACGUAGGGAAACUUACGCUAAUACCGCAUACGACCUUAGGGUGAAAGCGGAGGACCUUCGGGCUUCGCGCGGAUAGAUGAGCCGAUGUCGGAUUAGCUAGUUGGCGGGGUAAAGGCCCACCAAGGCGACGAUCCGUAGCUGGUCUGAGAGGAUGAUCAGCCACACUGGAACUGAGACACGGUCCAGACUCCUACGGGAGGCAGCAGUGGGGAAUAUUGGACAAUGGGCGCAAGCCUGAUCCAGCCAUGCCGCGUGGGUGAAGAAGGCCUUCGGGUUGUAAAGCCCUUUUGUUGGGAAAGAAAAGCAGUCGGUUAAUACCCGAUUGGGUCUGACGGUACCCAAAGAAUAAGCACCGGGCUAACUUUCGUGCCAGCAGCCGGCGGGUAAUACGAAGGGGUGCAAGCGUUACUCGGAAUUUACUG
RNAcentral lists this ribosomal RNA (512 nucleotides) under Xanthomonas oryzae. Its description in RNAcentral is "bacterial SSU rRNA". It matches the Rfam family "Bacterial small subunit ribosomal RNA", at positions 62 to 556 of the family's 1533-position model. The record is from RNAcentral. Lineage: Bacteria; Pseudomonadati; Pseudomonadota; Gammaproteobacteria; Lysobacterales; Lysobacteraceae.